CACGCCGUAAACGAUGAGUACUAGGUGUAGGAGGUAUCGACCCCUUCUGUGCCGCAGUAAACACAAUAAGUACUCCGCCUGGGAAGUACGAUCGCAAGAUUAAAACUCAAAGGAAUUGACGGGGGCCCGCACAAGCAGCGGAGCAUGUGGUUUAAUUCGAAGCAACGCGAAGAACCUUACCUGGACUUGACAUCCCCUGAAUAACUCGUAAUGGAGGAAGCCCUUCGGGGCAGGGAGACAGGUGG
This 245-nucleotide ribosomal RNA is filed under the name uncultured bacterium. RNAcentral's name for it is "partial 16S ribosomal RNA". It matches the Rfam family "Bacterial small subunit ribosomal RNA", at positions 796 to 1041 of the family's 1533-position model. The record is from RNAcentral.